GUUAGGAGUAUUCCUGAGGGAGCGGUAAAAUGCUAUAAUCUCAGGAGGACUACCUGUGGCGAAGGCGCCUAACGAGAACGGGUCUGACGGUGAGGAACGAAAGCUAGGGGAGCAAACCGGAUUAGAUUUCGAGAAGUUUCUAAAUCUCUUUGUUGUUUUCUCAACAAUACUACUGACAAAGAAAAAAAUGAUGGAACUUGAAUUUCAACUCGACUAAUUACCCGAGUAGUCCUAGCCGUAAACGCUGUGUACUAGAUGUGGCAUAUUCUAUAUGGAUAUGCCGUGUCGAAGCGAAGGUAUUAAGUACACCGCCUGGGAAGUACGGUCGCAAGGCUGAAACUUAAAGGAAUUGGCGGGAGAGCACCACAAGGGGUGCGGCGUGCGGUUUAAUCCAACUCAACGCGGAGAAUCUCACCAGCAGCGACGGCAGGAUGAAGGUCAGAUUAAAGGUCUUACCUAACAAGCCGAGAGGUAGUGCAUGGCCGUCGGCAGCUCGUGCCGUAAGGUGUCCUCUUAAGUGAGGUAACGAGCGAGACCCAUACCCAUAAUUGCUAACGGGUUCUUUAGAAUGACCGAGCACAUUAUGGGGACUGCCUUGGAAACAAGGAGGAAGGUGUGGGCCACGGUAGGUCUGUACGCUCCGAAUCUGCUGGGCUACACGCGCGCAACAAUGGCAAGGACAAUAGGAUGCGACACCGAAAGGUGAAGCCAACCCCGUAAACCUUGUCUUAGUUUGGAUUGAGGGCUGUAACUCGCCCUCAUGACAACGGAAUCCCUAGUAAUCGGACUUCAUCAUGGUCCGGUGAAUAUGUCCCUGCUCUUUGCACACACCGCCCGUCAAACCAACCGAGUUGGGUCCAGGUGAGAUGCAGCUUUCAGCUGCCUCGAACCUAGAUUCGGUGAGGUGGGUUAAGUCGUCACAAGGUAGCCGUAGGGGAACCUACGGCUG
This 949-nucleotide ribosomal RNA is filed under the name groundwater metagenome. RNAcentral's name for it is "bacterial SSU rRNA". It matches the Rfam family "Archaeal small subunit ribosomal RNA", at positions 608 to 1467 of the family's 1478-position model. The record is from RNAcentral.